Molecule: ribosomal RNA, 492 nt
Filed under: uncultured bacterium
Lineage: Bacteria
Description: partial 16S ribosomal RNA
Rfam family: Bacterial small subunit ribosomal RNA
Source: RNAcentral
AGUGAACGCUGGCGGUAGGCCUAACACAUGCAAGUCGAACGGCAGCACAGUAAGAGCUUGCUCUUACGGGUGGCGAGUGGCGGACGGGUGAGGAAUACAUCGGAAUCUACUUUUUCGUGGGGGAUAACGUAGGGAAACUUACGCUAAUACCGCAUACGACCUACGGGUGAAAGCAGGGGAUCUUCGGACCUUGCGCGAUUGUAUGAGCCGAUGUCGGAUUAGCUAGUUGGCGGGGUAAAGGCCCACCAAGGCGACGAUCCGUAGCUGGUCUGAGAGGAUGAUCAGCCACACUGGAACUGAGACACGGUCCAGACUCCUACGGGAGGCAGCAGUGGGGAAUAUUGGACAAUGGGCGCAAGCCUGAUCCAGCCAUACCGCGUGAGUGAAGAAGGCCUUCGGGUUGUAAAGCCCUUUUGUUGUGAAAGAAAAGCAGCAGGUUAAUACCCCGCUGUUCUGACGGUACCCAAAGAAUAAGCACCGGCUAACUUCGUG